AUUAGAUACCCUGGGUAGUCCGCACGGUAAACGAUGGAUGCCCGCCGUUGGGUAUUUUUAUUCAGUGGCCAAGCGAAAGCGUUAAGCAUCCCACCUGGGGAGUACGCCGGCAACGGUGAAACUCAAAGGAAUUGACGGGGGCCCGCACAAGCGGAGGAACAUAUGGUUUAAUUCGAUGAUACGCGAGGAACCUUACCCGGGCUUGAAUUGCAGAUGACGGAUCCAGAGAUGGUGACUUCCUUCGGGACAUCUGUGAAGGUGCUGCAUGGUUGUCGUCAGCUCGUGCCGUGAGGUGUCGGCUUAAGUGCCAUAACGAGCGCAACCCCUUUCGUCAGUUGCCAUCGGGUAAUGCCGGGCACUCUGGCGACACUGCCGCCGCAAGGUGUGAGGAAGGUGGGGAUGACGUCAAAUCAGCACGGCCCUUACGUCCGGGGCUACACACGUGUUACAAUGGGGCAUACAGAGAGUUGGUCAUGCGCAAGCAUGAUCGGAUCAUGAAAGUGUCCCUCAGUUCGGACUGGGGUCUGCAACCCGACCCCACGAAGCUGGAUUCGCUAGUAAUCGCGCAUCAGCCAUGGCGCGGUGAAUACGUUCCCGGGCCUUGUACACACCGCCCGUCAAGCCAUGAAAGCCGGGGGCGCCUGAAGUCCGUGACCGCGAGGGUCGGCCUAGGGUGAAACCGGUGAUUGGGGCUAAGUCGUAACAAGGUACC
RNAcentral lists this ribosomal RNA (712 nucleotides) under uncultured bacterium. RNAcentral describes it as "bacterial SSU rRNA". It matches the Rfam family "Bacterial small subunit ribosomal RNA", at positions 777 to 1500 of the family's 1533-position model. The record is from RNAcentral.